Molecule: long non-coding RNA, 1574 nt
Filed under: Mus musculus (house mouse)
Lineage: Eukaryota; Metazoa; Chordata; Mammalia; Rodentia; Muridae
Description: long non-coding RNA chr9:115057108-115058682
Source: RNAcentral
AACUGUUGCCUUCGUUGUGAGUAUUAUCUCUGCAUCGAGGAAAAUCCCAUGCUCUGCUAGGCUUGUUUCUGUGGCCCUCUUCUCCCUUAGAAAAGAACAAACACAGGCUACCCUCAAGUUCCAUCUGGUUAGCUCUGUGGUAGAUUAUGCAGGCAGGCCCCCUGACUGCCAGUAGAGCCUCUGCUCGGGGCACAUCAGAGCCUGUGCUUGGGGAUGCAGUGUGAGCACUGGGGUGGGGCUAUGGUGUGAGUUUGGGAUUGUAACGUGCACAUCAGCAGAGGUUACAUUUAGGUUUGUAUUAUGUGCAUCGGGGAAACGGUUUUGUCUAUGUGAUGGUUGGUUUUAAACUUCAACUUUGGCACAAUCUAAAGUUAACCUGGGCCAGGCAGUGGUGGCGCACACCUUUAAUCCCAGCACUUGUGAGGCAGAGGCAGGCGGAUUUCUGAGUUCGAGGCCAGCCUGGUCUACAGAGUGAGUUCCAGGACAAGCCAGGGCUACACCGAGUCUUGAAAAACCAAACCAAACCAAACCAAACCAAACCAAACCAAACCAAACCACACCCUCCCCCAUCCAAAACAAAACAAAACAACAACAACAAAAAAAACAAAACCAAUAAAGUUAACCUGGGCAGAGUUUUGCCUGAGAAAUUAUUCAGAUUGGGCGUGCCUGCAGGGAUUGUCUUGAUAGUUGAUGUAGGUGGACCCAGCCCACUGUGGGCGACACCAUUCCCCAUGAGGAAGUCCUGGGCUCUACAGGAGAGAAGUGGCAGAAAGGAUUCAUUUCUCUCUGCUCUCAACUGUGGGUGUGAUGUUGUGGGUGUGAUGUGGUGGGUGUGAUGUGGUGGGUAUGAUGUGGUGGGUGUGAUGUGGUGGGUGUGGUAUGGUGGACUGUAACCUGGAAUUGUGGUCCAAAUAAACCCCAAACCUUUCUUCCCCCACCUGGCUUUUUGGUCAGGGUAUUUUAUUAUAGCAACAGAAAUGAAACUAGAGGAAUCUGCAUUUAGGAUUGCAAUGUGUACACUGGGAGGGGUUUACAGUCUAUGUUUAGGAAUAAAUAUAUACACUGGGGAGGGAUUGUUUUCUAAGCAGGCUGAUCUUAGGCCACAGAGAUAAUAAGGUAUUCUACAGAAGAAAGUCAGUCAGCUUUUGGCUUUUGCAAAUAGGAAUCAAGGUUCUAAAUGCUCAGGUCCCUUGCCCAUGAAUGAGCAUCAGUACCUAUGGUUGCCUGUGCCUGGCAGGCAUGAGUGAGGCUGUGGCUGCAUAGACAUUCCAGGCAUGGUUUGUGAGGGUGUGUGUGAGCGCCUAUGUAUGGGAGUGUGAACACAGGUGUGUGAUGUGCACAGGUGUUGUGGGUUGUAUGCACGCUUGUGUGCACUUGGUGUUUCUCUGAAAGUACCAUGGCAUCUAAGGACGUUAGUGACUGAUACUUGUCCUCAACCCUUCCAGAAGGGCCUGCCACCUGCCUAGGAGCCCUGCAGGGCCUCUGCAGACAAAGGGAGGCGGCUUCCUUCUGGCUUGAUCUGGUUCCUCUCUUACUCUCCUUUCUUGCCCCAAACAACCCUUUAAAUUUAAUUU